UAGCGGUUGUUAACUCACGUAGGAGCACAGAAGAACUCUGGAAACUAUACCUACCGGAAGCGGAGCAGUGUUUGAAGACCUGUGAGUUGUUUUCGGCAGAGACUGCUUCCCGGAGCCUCCAGCCAAGGUUCCUCCCCCUCUUGAUGCAGACAUCACUGAACAUCCAGAAGCAGAAAGGGGUGUUUCCAGGUCCAGGUCUAGAUCUCGCUCCACCAGACGCCUGUCCAGGUCUCCCUCCGCCAGGAAUCCAUCCACGUCUCACUCCAACA
Molecule: long non-coding RNA, 269 nt
Organism: Cololabis saira (Pacific saury)
Lineage: Eukaryota; Metazoa; Chordata; Actinopteri; Beloniformes; Belonidae
Exons: 3
Source: RefSeq, a predicted model, not a curated record